Molecule: non-coding RNA, 4940 nt
Organism: Ictidomys tridecemlineatus (thirteen-lined ground squirrel)
Lineage: Eukaryota; Metazoa; Chordata; Mammalia; Rodentia; Sciuridae
Source: RefSeq, a predicted model, not a curated record
AUCUUCCCUAUAGCUUCCAGCCACCUGCGGCUCAGUUCAGCGUUACCUGCCAAGCACACCUGCAAGUACUAGCAAUAACUGCCCAUCUGGUUAAUCACCACCUUCUCCAGCAUUCAAAGUACAGAUCCACAGAAGCCAAAUCCUUCCCUGGUGACCUCCAUGGCAACAGGUGAUUCCCAGCAUCACAGUGGACCUGGCCAGACCAUGCCAAUUCAGCAAGUUUUGGUCGCAGUUCAACGACUCACCUUGUUCCACUCCCAUCUUCCUAAAGUCAUGCCAACAAGUAGCCUGGUGGCUUAGAGUUGAGUUGAAGACCACAUCACUGUGAGCCAUAGGAAUAGCAGACCAUCAUCUAGUGUUUGGUAGCUUUAGUACGAUUUCACAGAUGAGAGACUCUGGAAGCAAACCUCAGGCUCUCAGAGGAAGGCAUGAGGGUCUCCAGGGAAGAGGCAGCGAGGGCUCUCAGAGUCAAGGCAUGGAAGAAGCCAGCUAGAAGCUGACCUGUCAUCUCACCCCACAUCCAGCAACCUUGACGGAGGUGAAAUUUAAGCACUUGCAUGGAAGCAAAGGGAUACGAAAUACUUCUGAGGCAAAACUGGAGAGGCAACAAACAGCCUUGUGAUGCAACUGCACCUGUCUCGGCUACGCGUUACUAUGGAGACACUCCAGUUGCUAUAGCUACCAUCACGCUAAUCGCCUAGCAAACGCAGACAUACAGCAGUCUUCUCAGAGAGCCCAGCUGUUCCUCCCCGUCUCUUGCUGAAGACUGAUUGUCUAGGGCCUGUGAUGGAAUGCUUCUCGGCUGAGAGGCACAAGAACUUCAUUAAUGCCAUUUUGGAGGAUCACUUUGUGCUGCCUCCUGCAGAACCAGCAUCAGACCAGGAGAAGCAUCUGCGAGAAGGGGACUAUAAAACUCCAGAAAUCUCUUGACACCAUGCCACUCCCAGUUAACAUAAACGUGUAGUCCAAGGACAAGUUCUCUUGACUAGGGUAGCUGCCACAAAAACAUUUCUAUACAUACAUUUCUAACAUAAUUUUGAAAUAUUGAGGGAUGCACUUAGGACCCAAGCACCAUGUGUAGAUAAAAUCCACUUUAAAAUGCUGUUUCAUGUCAUAUGUCUCUUUCUUUGAAUCUAACAUUAAUAUGCUUUUUCCAAAAAAAAAGACAAUCUACAUAACCCUUCACUCUGAUUAUAUAUUUGUAAAAAUGGCACUCAUGACCUCAACCUCCCAAAACAUGGGAGUGAGGAGAGCAGAGGUCUCCAUUGUCCCCUGCAGUUCCUGAAGAAGCAAACACCAAGUAACCACAACAAACCCAUCACUUAGGAGCACCGUCUACAUGGAGACCAGGAAAGACAACAACCCAGCAAGCCUUCUCACAAGGCCAGCAGACCCUGCUCAGGGCAGGGGAAGAUGGCAUCGCUCGCCUGACUCAUUCCUGUAUAUGUUUAUCCCAACAAAACGUGACACCCAGAGAUAUGAAAGCUGUCAGCUUUUCUUUGUAAAUGUUUCUACUCAGGAAGACAAUAUUUUACCACCAUGAAGCCUUCUGGAAACACUGUUCCUCGGGAGGAGCAGAAGCGGUAAGGUUUGCAGGAAAUACAACAAUGGAUAUGCCUACUAAUAAUAUUUCAUUUCUUUCUCAUUUAUCUGCAGUUAUUUUUGAAACCUCACGCAGCCUAUGAAAUUAGCUGCAGUGCCUGCCUUUGCCAAAAUAAAGCAACUUCAGUAGAUCCCCCCAAAAGAAAGAAGCACCCAUGAAAAUACUAUCAAUAACACCAGCAAACAGGGCAACCAGAAAUCAUCAAUUUUGCAGCUCUGAGAACAGGGGAAUGGCACAAAGCCAGGGUCACAGGCUGGCACCUGGGGCCACCCCAGGCACCCAGCUCCAGCUGCAGUUCCGACCCCAGACACAGGUCUGGCUCAGGUGGGCCUAUGUUAUGAUAAACGCCAAGGUUCCCAGCUUAAUCAUCUGGAUGUUGAAAGCCUGGAAGACUUCAACCAUGGAAAAUACAACAGUCCUAUCCUGGCCUUCCCUUUCAUGCAUUCAUUUUCAAAUUCAGAAGAGUUCGGGGACCUGAUGAGAUUUUCCAUAUAAAACUGGCAGGCUACCCAGGAAUAUGCCCCGGAGCUUCCAUCUUUCCCUGUGGAAAAAAGCUGUGCAGCACACUUUUUAAAGAAAGCCAAAAGGUAAGGAGUGGGGAGGUGUAGGGAGGGGCAAGGGAGAGCAGGAUUUAGCACAAGUGGAUAAAGUAAACAAACCGCCAAGGCAUGGCAAGCUCCUAGAGCAUGGCGGGGCUGGCCUGACCCCACCAUCAAAGGCUCCUCUGGAGCCCUGGGCCAGGGGACUUCCCUUCCGGUACCAUACAGCAUGGUCUAAACUGCACGGAGGGCCUGUCUGCAAUCCAAACAUUUCUGCAAUGAGAUUGUCUCACUUCUGGAAACCUAAGAGCUUUGGGUUUUAUCACAGUGGCUCUCAGACUAGAGGAAUUUAAUCUUACACCAAAAAUCCAAGGACAAAGCAAAGAAGGACAACUGGCCCUCUCAGGUAAGUAAUGAUAAGCCAAUGGUUCACUAUGAUUCACUACUGUUUAAAAACUAGAUGGAGUAAAUCCCCAGAUUUGUGCAGAACUGUCACACAGUAACUGAUCCAGGUGCAGAGGGACAGGCAGGGAAAUGGUAAGAACAGGUGGUCUGGGACCUCAGAAAGUCAUGGCUUCCUCACUGGUGGAGACAUAUACAAAGCCCAGGAUGGCAAGACACAAAAUCCUACCACAGUGGCUGCAACUUACAGGCAAGCCUCAUGUACCUCACCUUUUUUUGUUUGUUUGUUUUUGCUACCAGGGAUUGAACCCAGGGGCAUUAGACCACUGAGCCACAUCCCCAGCCCUAUUUUGUAUUUUAUUCAGAGACAGGGUCUCACUGAGUUGCUUAGCACCUCGCUGUUACUGAGGCUGGCUUUGAACUCACGAUCCUCCUGCCUCAGCCUCCCAACCUGCUGGAAUUACAGACAUAUAUGACUGGGCCGGCUAACCUAACCUUUUUGACAAAAGAAGGGAGACCAAGUGUGGCUGGACAACGAUUCAUUAAACCAAAUCUGAGGAGGCUUGAGCUCCAUCAGUGUUAGGAUGAGGGCCCUCCAGCAAAGUGCCUGCAUGCAUGAGCUGCUGGCCUGGCUUCAGGGAGCUUUCCAACAUUCUAAGAUCCUCCUUUAUUUUUGCACUCCCUCUAUCUGUCUUCUCUGCACACCACACCCCAGGCACAAGCUCUCAUAACUCUUCCCCUUCUUAGUAAGCCAACAUCAGCCAUGAGUAACCACCUCCCUUCUAGAAGUUUCCUUUCACCCAGGUCUUUGGAGUGUGAUUAUCCAGCCAAGGUUUAAUUCCAAAUUUGGUCAGUACUUGUGGCCAAAUGUACUCCCAAUGUUCAUUAACCAAAGAAAUGUUCUCAGGCUUUGGAUCCUAAGUAAUGGUUCCCACCUUGACCGGUCCUACCGUUUACAGUCACAGGAUUUAGGAAUUGCUGAUAUUUACAGACCAGACUCUAAUUCAAUAUAUCUCACACUUAGAACGCUGGAAUUCCAAAGAGAAAAAACAUACAAAUGAAAUGCUUCUUGGAGACACACCCCUAGGGACUGUCAAUGCCAACAAUUCCAGGGCCAGCAUCAGGCCACGCUUGGGGGGAGCCCCAGAGGAGGCUAGGCGAGUACCUCAUUUGCAAGCCUUCCUGGUUGCCUGUAGCAGUUCAGAAUAGUAAAAAGGUUUACUUGACAAUUUUUUAAAGUAGAAAUGUGCAGAGGAUAGAGUACUCAAGUUUCUGAGGCUACGGAAAACGGUACUGAAUGCCCCUUGCAGGGGAAAGAGGGUGUGAUUUGAUUUUAGUUGGGCAAUAAGCUUGAGACUCGGAGCUUUUACAGAAAUGUCUGCAUUUCAGAUGAAGGCAAGCAUGUGCAGUCUUUUUUGUUUGGAAUGGAAAUAACUAUGAAGGCCACGCACCAUUAAGUGUUAAGGAAUCCACAAUAAUAAAGGAAGAAAAAUGUCAUUUAUAGAUACAUUUUCAUUAUAUACUAAUAUAACAUUCACACCCUGAGAGAAAACUAAUGUGAAUAAGGUAGAAAAUGAGGCCAAGUUUUUAUUUUAUUUUUUUUAAUUAAAAAGCACCUGGGGAAUAAUAGCUCUGUUAAUAAUAAUAAUAAUAAUAAUAAAAGUACACAAGAGGAACAAGAAAGAAAGAGGAGCCUAUAGUAUAUACAGACUGAAGUGAUAAGUGAAAAAAUCUGCAAAAAAACAACUAAAUUAAACUCUAAAUCUAAAGGUAUCAUCUUUCCAUGGCCUCCAGGGCCCAUCCUGUGGUUCAUACCUCUAUCCCACGUCCCCACAGCCCUUCAGACCUGCACUAAGGCACCUGCUGGUCCACGUGACACUGGCCUCACCUUUGGGUCCCUUGGUUAGACUGAGGAUUCUGGAGGAAAGACACUAUUUUUUUAAACACUGUAUUUCAAAGUGUGCUAUGAUACAUUCAUGGGUCACAAAAUCAAGAGAAUGGGUCACAACCGCUAUUUGUUUUAAUGGAACAGAACAGAAUCAAAUAGAAUAGUCAAGAACAGAAGAGAUGCACAGUCGUGUACUGUGAAAUUCGUGUUUGUCCCAUCUGGUAAGUAUGUGUACACUGAGCCUGGAGUAGCAUACUCCUUGCUGGGAAGCUGGGUCAACAUUUGGUAAACGCUGGUCCAAGACAAUGGAUUCCAGGGUUCUUUUCUUUCUCACCACUUCUAGGAAUAAAAGCCUCUCCCAGCAGGAAUGGAGGGCAUACUCAAAUGUGAGGCUUAGGGCUGCACUUGAGGAAUAGCGAGGACAAUAAGGCAGAAGCUGCAUCAAAAUAAAGCAGGAAGCUAAGUACAAGUUCUUCAUGCAUUUAAAAUGAUACCUGUAGCCAUGUGU